Schizosaccharomyces pombe (fission yeast) is the source of this 221-nucleotide non-coding RNA. The record is from the annotation of a GenBank genome assembly. NCBI's taxonomy places the organism in Eukaryota, Fungi, Ascomycota, Schizosaccharomycetes, Schizosaccharomycetales, Schizosaccharomycetaceae.
CUAAAAGUUAGCUAGCAAAUUCACUCAAAAGAUCGUAGAUUUUCCGUAUCUUAGGUUGUUUCUGCGAAACCUAGGAAAUGCGGCAAUGAGUAAGAAAUUUAAAUUUGUUAACAAGUAAAUUUUGUCACAUAAAAGACAGCGCCAAUCAGAGUUUGGGAUCCGACCCCUCAAUAUGAGUCAAAUAAAAUGGCAUGGAAUAAGCUCUACAGCAGUAAUCGAAG